AACGCGAAGAACCUUACCCGGGCUUGAAAUGCAGAAGAAUAACGUUGAAAGAUGUUAGCCAGCAAUGGCUUCUGUGUAGGUGCUGCAUGGUUGUCGUCAGCUCGUGCCGUGAGGUGUCGGCUUAAGUGCCAUAACGAGCGCAACCCACAUUGUUAGUUACUAACAGGUCAAGCUGAGGACUCUAACAAGACUGCCGUCGUAAGAUGCGAGGAAGGUGUGGAUGACGUCAAAUCAGCACGGCCCUUACGUCCGGGGCGACACACGUGUUACAAUGGGUGGUACAAAGGGCAGCUACUUGGUGACAAGAUGCUAAUCUCCAAAGCCACUCCCAGUUCGGAUCGGAGUCUGCAACUCGACUCCGUGAAGCUGGAUUCGCUAGUAAUCGCGCAUCAGCCAUGGCGCGGUGAAUACGUUCCCGGGUCUUGUACACACCG
RNAcentral lists this ribosomal RNA (434 nucleotides) under uncultured bacterium. Its description in RNAcentral is "bacterial SSU rRNA". It matches the Rfam family "Bacterial small subunit ribosomal RNA", at positions 958 to 1392 of the family's 1533-position model. The record is from RNAcentral.